RNAcentral lists this ribosomal RNA (481 nucleotides) under uncultured bacterium. RNAcentral describes it as "partial 16S ribosomal RNA". It matches the Rfam family "Bacterial small subunit ribosomal RNA", at positions 28 to 507 of the family's 1533-position model. The record is from RNAcentral.
GAUGAACGCUGGCGGCGUGCUUAACACAUGCAAGUCGAACGAAGCACUUUAUUUGAUUUCCUUCGGGACUGAUUAUUUUGUGACUGAGUGGCGGACGGGUGAGUAACGCGUGGGUAACCUGCCUUGUACAGGGGGAUAACAGUUGGAAACGGCUGCUAAUACCGCAUAAGCGCACGGCGUCACAUGAUGCAGUGUGAAAAACUCCGGGGGUAUAAGAUGGACCCGCGUUGGAUUAGCUAGUUGGUGAGUUAACGGCCCACCAAGGCGACGAGCCAUAGCCGACAUGGGGAGGGGCCCGGCCACAAUGGGACUGAGGCACGGCCCACAACCCGACGGGAGGGAGGAGUGGGGAACAUUGCACAAGGGGCGAAAACGUGAUGCAGCGACGCCGGGGGAGCGGAGAAGUAUGUUGGUAUGUAAAGCUCCAUCAGCAGGGGAGAUAAUGACGGUACCUGACAAAGAAGCACCGGCCAAAUACGUG